RNAcentral lists this ribosomal RNA (385 nucleotides) under uncultured bacterium. RNAcentral describes it as "bacterial SSU rRNA". It matches the Rfam family "Bacterial small subunit ribosomal RNA", at positions 29 to 416 of the family's 1533-position model. The record is from RNAcentral.
AUUGAACGCUGGCGGCAUGCCUUACACAUGCAAGUCGAACGGCAGCACGGGAGCAAUCCUGGUGGCGAGUGGCGAACGGGUGAGUAAUAUAUCGGAACGUGCCCAGUGAUGGGGGAUAGCCCGGCGAAAGCCGGAUUAAUACCGCAUACGACCUACGGGUGAAAGCAGGGGAUCGCAAGACCUUGCGUCAUUGGAGCGGCCGAUAUCAGAUUAGCUUGNGGUGGGGUAAAAGCCUACCAAGGCGACGAUCUGUAGCUGGUCUGAGAGGACGACCAGCCACACUGGGACUGAGACACGGCCCAGACUCCUACGGGAGGCAGCAGUGGGGAAUUUUGGACAAUGGGCGCAAGCCUGAUCCAGCCAUGCCGCGUGCGGGAAGAAGGCC